This 427-nucleotide ribosomal RNA is filed under the name uncultured Aerococcus sp. Its description in RNAcentral is "bacterial SSU rRNA". It matches the Rfam family "Bacterial small subunit ribosomal RNA", at positions 355 to 774 of the family's 1533-position model. Lineage: Bacteria; Bacillati; Bacillota; Bacilli; Lactobacillales; Aerococcaceae. The record is from RNAcentral.
UAGGGAAUCUUCCGCAAUGGGCGAAAGCCUGACGGAGCAAUGCCGCGUGAGUGAAGAAGGCCUUCGGGUCGUAAAACUCUGUUAUAAGAGAAGAACAAAUUGUAGAGUAACUGCUACAGUCUUGACGGUAUCUUAUCAGAAAGCCACGGCUAACUACGUGCCAGCAGCCGCGGUAAUACGUAGGUGGCAAGCGUUGUCCGGAUUUAUUGGGCGUAAAGGGAGCGCAGGUGGUUUCUUAAGUCUGAUGUGAAAGCCCACGGCUUAACCGUGGAGGGUCAUUGGAAACUGGGAAACUUGAGUACAGAAGAGGAAUGUGGAACUCCAUGUGUAGCGGUGGAAUGCGUAGAUAUAUGGAAGAACACCAGUGGCGAAGGCGACAUUCUGGUCUGUUACUGACACUGAGGCUCGAAAGCGUGGGGAGCAAACA